GUCGGGAGUUAGGAAAUGCAAGGAUGUUAAUAGCGUCUUUGCUUGACUAAGGCUCCGGAGGAAGCCGCGGCUAACUCUGUGCCAGCAGCCGCGGUAAUACAGAGGCGGCAAGCGUUGUUCGGAAUUAUUGGGCGUAAAGAGCACGUAGGCGGCCGUGUAAGUCGGUUGUGAAAGCCUUCCGCUCAACGGGAGAACGGCAUCCGAUACUGCAUGGCUAGAGUGCGGGAGGGGAGAGUGGAACUUCUGG
Molecule: ribosomal RNA, 247 nt
Filed under: uncultured bacterium
Lineage: Bacteria
Description: partial 16S ribosomal RNA
Rfam family: Bacterial small subunit ribosomal RNA
Source: RNAcentral